GCUUAAAGGGGCCGUAGCCGGUUUAAUCAGUCUUCCGGGAAAUCUGACAGCUCAACUGUUAGGCUUCCGGGGGAUACUGUUAAACUUGGGACCGGGAGAGGUAAGAGGUACUACAGGGGUAGGAGUAAAAUCUUGUAAUCCCUGUGGGACCACCAGUGGCGAAGGCGUCUUACCAGAACGGGUCCGACGGUGAGGGACGAAAGCUGGGGGCACGAACCGGAUUAGAUACCCGGGUAGUCCCAGCCGUAAACGAUGCUCGCUAGGUGUCUGGAAUGGUGCGACCGUUUCAGGUGCCGCAGGGAAGCCGUGAAGCGAGCCACCUGGGAAGUACGGCCGCAAGGCUGAAACUUAAAGGAAUUGGCGGGGGAGCACCACAACAGGUGGAGCCUGCGGUUUAAUUGGACUCAACGCCGGAAAACUCACCGGGGGCGACAGCAAUAUGUAGGCCAAGCUAAAGACUUUGCCUGAAUCGCUGAGAGGAGGUGCAUGGCCGUCGCCAGUUCGUACUGUGAAGCAUCCUGUUAAGUCAGGCAACGAGCGAGACCCGUGCCCACUGUUGCCAGCAUGUCCUUCGGGACGAUGGGUACUCUGUGGGGACCGCCGAUGCUAAAUCGGAGGAAGGUGCGGGCUACGGUAGGUCAGUAUGCCCCGAAUCUCCCGGGCUACACGCGGGCUACAAUGGUUGGGACAAUGGGUUCCUACACCGAAAGGUGAUGGUAAUCUCACAAACCCAGCCGUAGUUCGAAUUGAGGGCUGAAACCCGCCCUCAUGAAGCUGGAAUCUGUAGUAAUCGCGUUUCAACAUAGCGCGGUGAAUACGUCCCUGCUCCUUGUACCCACCGCCCGU
This 846-nucleotide ribosomal RNA is filed under the name uncultured archaeon. RNAcentral's name for it is "bacterial SSU rRNA". It matches the Rfam family "Archaeal small subunit ribosomal RNA", at positions 508 to 1353 of the family's 1478-position model. The record is from RNAcentral.